Molecule: ribosomal RNA, 465 nt
Filed under: uncultured bacterium
Lineage: Bacteria
Description: partial 16S ribosomal RNA
Rfam family: Bacterial small subunit ribosomal RNA
Source: RNAcentral
GAUGAACGCUGGCGGCGUGCUUAACACAUGCAAGUCGAACGGAAAGGCUCCUGCUUGCAGGGGUACUCGAGUGGCGAACGGGUGAGUAACACGUGGGUGAUCUGCCCUGCACUUCGGGAUAAGCCUGGGAAACUGGGUCUAAUACCGGAUAGGACGAUGGUUUGGAUGCCAUAGUGGAAAGCUUUUCGGUGUGGGAUGAGCUCGCGGCCUAUCAGCUUGUUGGUGGGGUAAUGGCCUACCAAGGCGUCGACGGGUAGCCGGCCUGACCGGGCGUACGGCCCCAUUGGGACUGAGAUGCGACCCAGACUCCUACGGGAGGCAGCAGUGGGGUAUAUUGCACUAUGGGCGCAAGCCUGAUGCAGCGACGCCGCGUGGGGGAUGACGGCCUUCGGGUUGUAACCUCCUUUCGCUAGGGACGAGGCGCAAGUGACGGUACCUUGAGAAGAAGCACCGGCUAACUACGUG